RNAcentral lists this ribosomal RNA (506 nucleotides) under uncultured bacterium. RNAcentral's name for it is "partial 16S ribosomal RNA". It matches the Rfam family "Bacterial small subunit ribosomal RNA", at positions 29 to 523 of the family's 1533-position model. The record is from RNAcentral.
AGUGAACGCUGGCGGUAGGCCUAACACAUGCAAGUCGAACGGCAGCACAGAGGAGCUUGCUCCUUGGGUGGCGAGUGGCGGACGGGUGAGGAAUACAUCGGAAUCUACUCUGUCGUGGGGGAUAACGUAGGGAAACUUACGCUAAUACCGCAUACGACCUACGGGUGAAAGCAGGGGAUCUUCGGACCUUGCGCGAUUGAAUGAGCCGAUGUCGGAUUAGCUAGUUGGCGGGGUAAAGGCCCACCAAGGCGACGCUCCGUAGCUGGUCUGAGAGGAUGAUCAGCCACACUGGAACUGGGACACGGUCCAGACUCCUACGGGAGGCAGCAGUGGGGAAUAUUGGACAAUGGGCGCAAGCCUGAUCCAGCCAUACCGCGUGGGUGAAGAAGGCCUUCGGGUUGUAAAGCCCUUUUGUUGGGAAAGAAAUCCAUCUGGUUAAUACCCGGGUGGGAUGACGGUACCCAAAGAAUAAGCACCGGCUAACUUCGUGCCAGCAGCCGCGGUAA